GAAAAUGGAUUUUCAAAUUAAAAAAAAAAAAAGUAAGUGAUAUCUAAGGAAAAUUAGCUAUUGUCAAUAUGUAGGACAGACUGGAGAUAGAAAGGAGAGGCCAGAAAGGCUAAGCAGGGAAUGGUUGCAACAGCACAUGUUUAAGGUUUAAAGUUCAAGACCCAGACAAGAAGAGCAGUCACAGAGAAUUUAAAAUGAAGAGAAAGGGGAAGAAAUGGACAUGAGAGACUUAUCUAAAGCCUAAUUCACAGAACUUGGAAACUAACUGAACAUAGUGGAAAAAGGAAAGAAUGAGACAAAGAUUUCUACCUUGAUGUCAUCU
This 322-nucleotide long non-coding RNA is filed under the name Homo sapiens (human). RNAcentral describes it as "HSALNT0143044". The record is from RNAcentral. Lineage: Eukaryota; Metazoa; Chordata; Mammalia; Primates; Hominidae.